CAUUAAAAAGCUGAAAGUCAGCACUGGUCUCUUAAACCAUAUUUUAAUAGAUUAACGCCUAUUUUUAAUGA
Molecule: transfer RNA, 71 nt
Filed under: Dastarcus helophoroides
Lineage: Eukaryota; Metazoa; Arthropoda; Insecta; Coleoptera; Bothrideridae
Description: tRNA-Lys
Source: RNAcentral